This is a long non-coding RNA of Helicoverpa armigera (cotton bollworm), 420 nucleotides long. RefSeq lists it as uncharacterized. NCBI's taxonomy places the organism in Eukaryota, Metazoa, Arthropoda, Insecta, Lepidoptera, Noctuidae. The transcript is spliced from 2 exons. The record is from RefSeq and is a predicted model, not a curated record.
UGUUCCGUUAACCGUCAGGAAAGAAAAGUGUGUGGAAAAGUGUGAAAUAAAUAGCUUUAUCUUAACAUAUUAUCAUGGAGUCUUCAGGAACAAGAGCCCCACGCAAACGUGUGGCUAAUUUCACGGCGGACGAAAAAGCUUUGUUAGCACAAUUAGUUAAAAAGAGACCAAUCGUGGAAUCUUAAAUAACAGAUGGCAAGUCAGUCGCCAAGAAACAAGCAGCAUGGGAUAGUAUAACACAGGAGUUCAAUCAGGAAUCAAUCACCAACUUCCAGACUACGGGCUGCUUUGUGAAAGUUUAAGAAAACCCACGAGAGACCUCGAGCACAGCAGCCGCGCUUGCGACCACUAGACCAACAAGGCAGUCAAAUAAACUUUGUACUACAUAAUUGUUCAACAAUUAAAAAAGUAUUCGUCUUA